CGCGGCCUAUCAGCUUGUUGGUGAGGUAACGGCUCACCAAGGCAUCGACGGGUAGCUGGUCUGAGAGGACGAUCAGCCACACUGGAACUGAGACACGGUCCAGACUCCUACGGGAGGCAGCAGUGGGGAAUCUUGCACAAUGGGCGAAAGCCUGAUGCAGCGACGCCGCGUGGGGGAUGAAGGCCCUAGGGUCGUAAACCCCUUUCAGUAGGGACGAAAAUGACGGUACCUACAGAAGAAGCUCCGGCCAACUACGUGCCAGCAGCCGCGGUAAGACGUAGGGGGCGAGCGUUGUCCGGAAUUAUUGGGCGUAAAGAGCUCGUAGGCGGUUCCGUAAGUCGGAUGUGAAAACUCAGGGCUCAACCCUGAGACGCCAUCCGAUACUGCGGUGACUGGAAUCCAGUAGGGGAGUGUGGAAUUCCUGGUGUAGCGGUGAAAUGCGCAGAUAUCAGGAGGAACACCUAUGGCGAAGGCAGCACUCUGGGCUGGUAUUGACGCUGAGGAGCGAAAGCAUGGGUAGCAAACAGGAUUAGAUACCCUGGUAGUCCAUGCCGUAAACGGUGGGCACUAGGUGUGGGGACUUUCAACGGUUUCCGUGCCGAAGCUAACGCAUUAAGUGCCCCGCCUGGGGAGUACGG
RNAcentral lists this ribosomal RNA (638 nucleotides) under uncultured bacterium. RNAcentral's name for it is "bacterial SSU rRNA". It matches the Rfam family "Bacterial small subunit ribosomal RNA", at positions 232 to 885 of the family's 1533-position model. The record is from RNAcentral.